CAGGGAGACAACAAAAUGUUUAUAUUAUUAUUUUGUCACCUUAGGUCGAUCGGUAUCUCACGUUCUUAAUUUGUUAAGAAUUUCAUUUCCUAAGUUUUUCUAGGUCACACCCAUUAUUUUUCCUGGGCCAUUAGCUCAGGUGGUUAGAGCGCACCCCUGAUAAGGGUGAGGUCCCUGGUUCAAGUCCAGGAUGGCCCAUAUCUCUAUGUUGGGGGUAUAGCUCAGUUGGUAGAGCGCCUGCUUUGCAAGCAGGAUGUCAGCGGUUCGAGUCCGCUUACCUCCACUGAUUACCACCUCUUCCAUAAUCCGUAGAAAGGAAAUGUUUUGAGUUGUGAUCAUUAUUCUGAACGAAUCUAGCUUCCUAAUGAAAUUAUUAAGAUGCUGGACUCAUUGAAUUAAUUUCAUUGUUUUCAGAGAACCUUGACAACUGCAUAGAUUAUUUUUAAAGACAAUAAGCAUCUUUAAUGAUGCAGAUUUAUUAUUUGUGCGAAUGCAUUAAUAACAAUUCUAUUAAGCUGAUGCUUCAAUUUUUGAAGUUAUU
Molecule: transfer RNA, 541 nt
Filed under: uncultured Prochlorococcus sp.
Lineage: Bacteria; Bacillati; Cyanobacteriota; Cyanophyceae; Synechococcales; Prochlorococcaceae
Description: partial 16S-23S ribosomal RNA intergenic spacer
Rfam family: tRNA (bases 211-283)
Source: RNAcentral